Molecule: long non-coding RNA, 1325 nt
Filed under: Parus major (Great Tit)
Lineage: Eukaryota; Metazoa; Chordata; Aves; Passeriformes; Paridae
Description: lncRNA (ENSPMJG00000002754.1)
Source: RNAcentral
UACAUGUUCCUUCUCUCUGUAUGUCAGAUUGUGUUAGAAGUGUGAUAUUAACACCAUGAAUAUUUUGCAAAUAUUGACUCCUCCCAUAUGAUUUAGUCAUUGCUAAUGGAGACACUACAGGCUCACAGUGGGAAUGUUAAAAGGAAGAAAAGAAAGUGGUGCACUUUCAGAAUGUGUAGUUCUGAAUAUGAAAAUGUACUUUUUAUAUAAAGACAACUGCUGACUUUUAAUCAAAACGAGAUCAUAAAUAUUUAGCAAGAGGGAAAAAGUAAUUUUAUUGGUACACUUUAUUUUUAAAUAAUUACUGAAAAAUGUGUAUUUGAAGAGUCCACCUUGCUAAAUGGAUGACACUUUUGAGCCAGUAAGAUUUACAUUAAUUAUUUUUUGCUAAGUCACAAGAUUAAUAUUUCUUACAUAUUAAUUGCCUAAAAGGAUGGAAUGCUUAAAACUUACCUGAUUAUAAACAAUUCCUGCACAGGUCAAAACGCCAUAACACCAGAAAGUAAUUACAACAACAUAAAUAUUUCUGCUAAGAAAAAAAUAAAUCCUUAUCUGACAACCUGAUCUGUGAUUUGGUAGUGUUAGGUUAACAGUCCAACUUGCUGAUCAUAGAGGUCUUUUCCAACUGUAACAUUUAUGUGAUUUUAGUCUUUAAUAAUUUCACUAUGAAGGCUUAAAAUGUCACUGAUAAAGGAACUGCACGUUAACUUUCUGGUGAAGGAAAACAGAAGGUUUUUAAAAUUCCUUUUUCAUACAAGCACUUUUUUUUUUAGUACAGAAACCUUAAGUACAUCUAUGAAGUUAUGUUAGGACGGCAGUGUAAGAACAAGAGCAGAAACAUGGAGAAUACAACCAAAAUACUUGGGAAAAUUUUCCUACAAUUGAUUCAAGCUAGCCCCAUCGUGAUGCCUGUGACAGAUCCCUGUUCUUUCUGUGGAGGAUCCUUCAAUCAUUAGGCUUUGCUGAAGCCAGCUGCAAAGAUAAGCAAGGGUUUCAGCUCCUGUUUUUCUCAGCCAGCCUCAUCAAUUCCUCACCAACUUAGAGCAAUGCUGCAGAAUUCUGAUAAUUUACCAUAAGGUUUGAGUGUGCAAUUACAGUCACAGCUGCAGAUUCCUCAGAUGCUCUCCAAGUGAGUAUCAACUCUGUAUAGGCUUGCUGGGUGUGUAGAAAUGAACUGCAAGUGAAAACACUAUGUUCCUUUCAAGUGCACUUCAAACUGGGAAAAGAAAUAAUCAAAAAGUGAUAAAGAAAAGAAAAUGUCAUCCUUGCUGGUGCUUGGGCUAGUAUUUGGGCAAUAAAGAUUUCCUUUUUUUUCUUUACUUCCA